This 20-nucleotide non-coding RNA is filed under the name Rattus norvegicus (Norway rat). Lineage: Eukaryota; Metazoa; Chordata; Mammalia; Rodentia; Muridae. The record is from RNAcentral.
UCUGUGUAUAUAUGUAUUAC